CCCUUAGAUGUUCUGGGCCGCACGCGCGCUACACUGAUGCAUUCAACAAGCCUAGCCUUGACCGAGAGGUCCGGGUAAUCUUUGAAACUGCAUCGUGAUGGGGCUAGAUUAUUGCAAUUAUUAAUCUUCAACGAGGAAUGCCUAGUAAGCGUGAUUCAUCAAAUCGCGUUGAUUACGUCCCUGCCCUUUGUACACACCGCCCGUCGCUCCUACCGAUUGAAGUUUUCGGUGAGUUGACAGGAGGAUUUUUUUGAAACUGGUUCGCCAGUGGAUUUUAGAUCCAAAUGCCAACGAAUCGAUGGCUUUAGAGGAAGGAGAAGUCGUAACA
This 328-nucleotide ribosomal RNA is filed under the name uncultured eukaryote. Its description in RNAcentral is "partial 18S ribosomal RNA". It matches the Rfam family "Eukaryotic small subunit ribosomal RNA", at positions 1470 to 1796 of the family's 1831-position model. The record is from RNAcentral.